GAUGAACGCUGGCGGCGUGCCUAAUACAUGCAAGUCGAGCGAACAGACGAGGAGCUUGCUCCUCUGACGUUAGCGGCGGACGGGUGAGUAACACGUGGAUAACCUACCUAUAAGACUGGGAUAACUUCGGGAAACCGGAGCUAAUACCGGAUAAUAUAUUGAACCGCAUGGUUCAAUAGUGAAAGACGGUUUUGCUGUCACUUAUAGAUGGAUCCGCGCCGCAUUAGCUAGUUGGUAAGGUAACGGCUUACCAAGGCAACGAUGCGUAGCCGACCUGAGAGGGGGGGCGGCAACACUGGAACAGCGACCGGGGCGAGACACAGACGGGAGGCGACAGUCGGGAUUCGUCCGCAAGGGGGAAAGACCGUAAGGCGCAACGCCGCGUGAAUAAUAAAGGUCUUAGUAACGAAAAACUUUUUUAUGGGGGAAAAACAAAAUGCUACUUAAAUAUACGCGCCUGGAGGGUCCCAAAGCAAAAACCCCCGCCUAACUACC
This 495-nucleotide ribosomal RNA is filed under the name uncultured bacterium. RNAcentral describes it as "partial 16S ribosomal RNA". It matches the Rfam family "Bacterial small subunit ribosomal RNA", at positions 28 to 505 of the family's 1533-position model. The record is from RNAcentral.